UAAUACGGAGGGUGCAAGCGUUAUCCGGAUUCACUGGGUUUAAAGGGUGCGUAGGCGGGCAGGUAAGUCAGUGGUGAAAUCCUGGAGCUCAACUCCAGAACUGCCAUUGAUACUAUCUGUCUUGAAUAUUGUGGAGGUAAGCGGAAUAUGUCAUGUAGCGGUGAAAUGCUUAGAUAUGACAUAGAACACCUAUUGCGAAGGCAGCUUACUACGCAUAUAUUGACGCUGAGGCACGAAAGCGUGGGGAUCAAACAGGAUUAGAUACCCUGGUAGUCCACGCCCUAAACGAUGGAUACUCGACAUACGCGAUACACUGUGUGUGUCUGAGCGAAAGCAUUAAGUAUCCCACCUGGGAAGUACGACCGCAAGGUUG
Molecule: ribosomal RNA, 373 nt
Filed under: uncultured bacterium
Lineage: Bacteria
Description: bacterial SSU rRNA
Rfam family: Bacterial small subunit ribosomal RNA
Source: RNAcentral